ACGUGGUCUAUGCUGAUCCAUACCCAUAUAUAAUCUCAAAUGGACUGCCCAGAUUAAACGGUUCUAUAUUCUCCAAUGGUCCAGAUCAAGCCACCAUAAUUUCUAUUUUUAAUUAAAUUUUUGGAUAAUACAAACUUCCAAAAAUCAUUACAAAUAGUCUAAACGAUGCUCCGAAAAAUCUAACGAACUGGUAACGACUUCUAGUUUAAUCUUAUGGACUCGAAAGGAAAUUUUCGACAAACUAAAAAUUGAAAUAAUUUUCAAAAGCUACAAAAAAUUUAAAAAAUAAUAGAAAUUAAAAUAAAAAUAGCUCGUAAAUAAUAUUCUUUUUAAAAAUAGAAAUCUAAAAUUCCAGGUUGUUACACAUUGCUCCAUCACCGCCCAGAUCGAGGCUACUCUGCAUCGGUUUUCGGAUCCCCAAAAUCGCAAAUCCUUAAGGCGCGCUUUUCUCAGUCGGGCUCGGCCUGUAUCACUACGAGUUGACCACUAUGAAAGCACAACGAUACUAACCUCAUUUUGGAGAGCCUUGAAGCCCCAAUCUUCAAGGCCAGCUGAAGGGAGGCUUUGGCGUGUGGUCCUUGCGAAGAGGAAACUGGGCAGAAUUGUCAUCAAACAUACAUGACGUUGGCUUUCUUCAAGAUGAAGGCGAGAGGUAGAACUAGAAACCCUGCUUGGUAUGGGCGCUGUGUGCCAUUGAUAGUGUCCCAAACCAUAGAGUCGGCUAGGGUUUGCUAAGUUUGGAGAGAGAGGCGGAGACCCAUUAUUCUUUAUGAUUAGAACACAUGUUUUAAUGCAAUUGAUUUAUUAGAACGGCUUCCUUUGACUGAACAAAUAGUUGGAUGCAGAUAGAUGGUUGGUAUUGAUGGUUAUUUCAUUGAAAUUGUGGAUCAGGCCACUAUUUGGGCUUCUAAUUAGAUCUUUGGCUUUCUAGGUGACUAAUGGGCUGAGGCUGCUAGGUUUUGUGCAAGUUGCAUGGGAAUUAUAAUGAAUGGAAAAAGGGCCAAUUACAUAAAAGUCCACUUGGAGACAUUUUCUCCCAUAUAGGUCAACCCCAACAUUUUUACCCACAUAAGUCCACCCAAGCCUAAAUACAGUCUUAUAUUAGGUAUUAAAGUUCAACAAAAUUACAGACUGCCAUCCAACCAAAAAAUUAGAAUUUCUCUUAUAUUUACAAAAAUGCCACUAAUGUAAAAAGUCAACAACCACAAAUAGUCUCCGAUUGACCUCCGGCGAGGUCUCCGGCCGACCUCCGACAAACUUUCCUGCCAACCUCCGGUAAACUUUCCGGCCGACCAUCUGUGAGGAUUCUAGUGACCACAAAACCUACUACCACUGACAACAAAAGAUACUACUACCGACAAAGAAAGCUACUACCACUGACAACAAAAGAUACUACCGAUAGCAAAAAGAACUACUGCCACCAGCAAAGAAAGCUACUACCAAUAGCAACAAAAGUUACUACCACCAGUAAAGAAAGCUACUACCACUGACAACAAAAUAUACUAUCGAUAGCAAAAAAAACUACUGCCAUCAGCAAAGAAAGCUACUACCGAUAGCAACAAAAGCUACUACCCAUGGCAAAGAAAACUACUACCACUGACAACAAAAGAUACUACCGAUAGCUAAAAAAGCUACUGCCACUAGCAAAGAAAGCUACUACUGAUAGCAACAAAAGGUACUACCGAUAGCAACAAAAGGUACUACCGAUAGCAACAAAAGGUACUACCGAUAGCAACAAAAGUUACUACCGCCACCAACAAAAAAUACUAUUGUCAGCAACAAAAAAAUACCACCGCCAGCAGCCAGAGAUACUACUGCCACCAACAUAAGAUACUACCACAACCAAUAAAAGAUACUAUCGCCACCAACAAAAACUACUACCACCAGCAACAAAAUCUACUCAUAUGAGAUUGAGAAAAAUACUAGCAUAGAAGUUGAAAACGCUUUGAUUGUAUAUACAAAAUAUUAUUAUCGUGUUGAAAAGAUACUAGUACAGAUAUUAAAAAAUACUAAAAUUAUGUAACUUUUUACAAUGAUAUAAUUAUGUAUAAAACUACUUCUGUACUUUAAAAAAGCUACCGUUAUAGUUUAGAAAGUCUACUGCAAUAGUUCUAUAAAGCUACUUCCGUGGUUUUGCCAUUCUCGAUUAGCACGCGACUUUAUUUCAAAUAUUUCUUGGUUAGUCAAAUGAUCUCUUGGUUAAGAGAGGCUUCAAUAUCCAAAUUCACAUGAGAUUUCUGCAAGAACAAAUGCACAAUAAAAUAUUAGUAUUUGAAAUGAAAACUAAAAACAAAUGAAAAUAAAAGUUACUGACAUCAUGAUGAAAAAAUACUAAUAUAGACAUAGAAAGAUACUAUCAAUAUUUUG
Molecule: long non-coding RNA, 2367 nt
Filed under: Fragaria vesca (wild strawberry)
Lineage: Eukaryota; Viridiplantae; Streptophyta; Magnoliopsida; Rosales; Rosaceae
Description: long non-coding RNA (FVES_LNC002376)
Source: RNAcentral